Molecule: non-coding RNA, 45 nt
Organism: Schistosoma haematobium
Lineage: Eukaryota; Metazoa; Platyhelminthes; Trematoda; Strigeidida; Schistosomatidae
Source: Rfam
AUUUAGCUGAUAAGUACCAAAUAGGAUGAAACACGUGUCCUGGAU